ACAAACAUAUUCAUGGGAUAGAAUUGCCCAGGGCUAAAUACUUGCAUGCACACACACACAAAUAAGAAUAAGUAAAACUAGGCAAAUCUGAAGAACAGUGGGUUAUAUUAAUGUCAACAUCCUGGUUGUAAUACUGCAAGCCUAUAGUUUUGCAAGAUGUUCCAAUGAGGAAAACUGGUUAAAGGAUACAACUACAUGUGGAUCUGUCAUCAUCUCAGCAAAAAUUUCAAUUAAAAAAGUAAACAGUUCCAAAAAGAACAGCUUUAAGGGCAGCAAAGAAGGCAGGAAUUUGAGCAAUUUCAUGCCUCUGAAGUCAGUUUUUAUGUGAAUAAAGAAAUAUCCAAAAUAGAAAGGAUGGAGCAAAUUCUAGAGGAAGCAAUAACAAUAAUAGUAGUAGUAAGAAGAAAAGGAAGGAUACAGGGAAGAAGAAGAAAAAGGAGUUGCAGAAGGAGGCAUAUUAGUGUCCCCGUGGAUAACCAGAUGUCAACGUUUGCCAUUUGAACACAUGACGCACUAACAGAAGAUGUCAAUAAAUAAUGUUUGGAAAAACAACAAUAAUCAGAAAAUUUCGGAACUCUGAUCUCAAGAGCUAUUUAGUAAGGUUGACACUGGCCAUUUUCAAGGUUCACUGUACAAUGUUAAAACUCUUGUGUGACACAAGCUUGGGCUUCCUUAAUAAACAAAGUGAAGUUUCCUGUGUCAGUAGGAGAGGUCAGGAGUAAGGAGUUCACCAGCCCUGCCUAACUGAGGCAGUCUCCCCUUAGCACCCUUCCAAAGACACCCAGCAGCAUAAAUACAGUCCUAUCAUCAAGGAUGGAUGUGGCAGCCACAAAUGAUGGGAGACUCUUCAGGUCCAUCUCACAAGGAGGGGAGUAGAAAGACUGGUAUUUGUAUAAUGGCCUUCAGUUUCCAGAUGUCAAAGAUUCCCUCAGGCUUCCUCUGCCAGAAAGCUUCAACAAGGUAUAGCACAGACAAGAUCUAUGACACAUAGAAGUUUGGAUCAAUAAUGUGGAAAAGUGAGCCUCCCUGGAGGCUCUGGGCUUUCACAGCACUAUGCCUCAGUGUCUGGGCUUUCCUCCUUUUUUUUUCUGCACCUGCACCCGUAUUGAGUCAGCAUCUGCUCCCAUCACAUGAGCCAGGUAAAGAUGCAUUUGGUCGAGCAGAUUGCAUCUCCUCAUCUGGCCUGACAUUUGUCUGUCAUGCUGUGGCUGGAAUGUGAUACCUAGUCGACAAAACACAGCCCUCACACAUGUCAGAAGGCCCUUUGUUCCACCAGCAAGCCCCUGCUGCUUGGGGUCCUCUGAUGGCUCCGGGAUUCAGGCCUGUCUCUUCUUGGUUCUUUCAAGACAAAUGGCCAGAUCACAAGAAAGGAGGUGCUGCUCAGUUCAACAUCCGUACCUCCCCAUACAAACACACCUCUGCCUGCAUGCUUCAGAGUCAAUCCUGGAGGCUUCGGAAUCCUGUGCACACUCAUGUGUGUGCCUGUGUGUGAGAGUGUGCUCAGCUCUGAUCUUUUGUUUUUAUCUUGAGCCUUGUCCUGAGAGUUCUUGGCAUCUUGGAUGAGGUGGCAAAAUAACAGCAGGGGGCAAUGGCUCAAAGGAAGGACUCUGCAAGCAGUCACAGAUGCGAAGCAUCUGCAUCUAGGAGAGAGAAAACAAGAACUCCAUAGUCCAAAAGUGCAUCACAACAACCUCCCUGCUCCCUCUGAAGGAAUUAUAAACAGCGCUCAAGAAUCUUAGGAAAAGAAGUGUGGAAAAUGUCUCAUUUACAUUCUCUGAAAACUCCAUUCAUAGCACAUAUCCCAUGUAUAUAACAGAGGAUGUUAUGUUUUUGAAAAAGACCUCCUUAUCAUUAUCAUUUCCUGAUGCACUGGAUAUAUCUGAUGGAUGCAUCCGUCUCCUAAGGCCAGCAGACAGAGUUAUGAUGAGCUGGCUUCACCCUCUCAGUGAAGUUCUUUCUUCAUCAACGCUCCUCUGAGCGAGAAACCCCUCAGUCAGCUCUGAAACUACCAUGAAUGAAUUACUUACAUCCUAAAUGUCCUUGCAUUUGUACUAACCCCUACUCAUGCAUAACAGCUUAUGCUAAACUCCAGUCAGACUGAAAAGUAUUAAUCCUAGGCUCCUUACAAGCAGAUUGGAAGAUCUAACAAUAUGUGAGAUUUUUAAGAGUGAUUACAGAAAUUUAUCACUAAGAUGGCUUUUUUUUUUUUUGGUCUUUUUUGAGUCUGAAUGGAGUGCUGUCAGCAUCUCACUCCUUCCUUAAGAGGAGGCAUGCUGACUGGCACAGGGACAGUGGUACAGUGUCUCUACCAAGUUGCUGGACUCUUUUCAAGCCUUUCGUAAGAUUUCCUCUAUAUAUGGUCCCUUGACAUUCUCUGCAAGGCCCCAUGUUUGAGGGCCAGGCUGGUGAGGGGAAAGGGGCCUGAUGUGUAUGAGCCCUUCCUGGAAGGGGCAUGACUCCAAAUACCACAGUGCAUGCUGCUGAAGGAUGCAUGGACCCGAUGAAGAGACCUUAGUAUUGGUUGGGAAUUCGAACAAGGUCAUCUCCUCAGUACCUUCCAAUUCUAAGAUACUGCUAUUCUAAAAUUAAGUCAAUGCUGGAUAAGAGGAAUGGUAUUCGUGGGCCCAGGCAGGGGGUCUCAAAGCAGGGCUCUCUGCAACAUUUGGUUCCCUGAAUACAAUCUGGAUGAUGGCUGUGGCUUCUACAUUUUCUGCAAAGCAAUACAGGGCAGUCCUGAUCCCCGAAUCCUUCUAUUUCCUUGACACCAGACCCUCAUCAAGCAGGCAGGUGCUGUGCAGCCACACACCACUUCUGAACCUGCUAGUACCCUGAAGUUCAUUUUGCAUCUGAGCGGCUCGUUCAACAAUUAAAACCUGUCUUUUUUUUAUAGGCUCAGUUUCUUGUUAAACUGGAUCCUGAACCAACAACUCCAACCUAGCCACUGCGUUCAGUGCAACAGAGUGUCCAAAGACGAGCACAUCAGGGACCUGGCCAUCAAAUAACUUUGAUGGUGGGCCAGGCAGAAGACGUUAUCAUCAUGACGUCUCAGGUCAUGAUGCCAGGGAAGAAUAAAUAAAUGCAAGGUGCCAGGGAAGAAUAAAUAAAUGCAAGACUUACAUUGUCUUAAUGGAUUGGGGGCACUUUUGUGGAGUAGAUAAAUAGCCUUUGAAAAAUGGUUAGGAUUUCAACAAUUAGAAGGAAGGGGCAUGGACAUAACUAGAAAGCAAGUUAUAGGCUAAGAGAGCAAAGUCAGCAAAGGAAAAGAGGCACAGAGGUGCAGCUGUGACCGGCUAUGCAGAAGGUAGGCUCGGGCCCAGGCACGCUGGGGCCAAGGGAGCAAGAGGAGCAGGCGGAUAGAUGGGCUCCCUGGACACCAGACUGAUGAGUUUGGACGCUGUUUCUCCAGCAGCGGAUGAUGACUGAAGGAGUCUGAGCAAGGGGUGCUGUGCUCAGGAUACUCCUGGGUGUGUGACAGUCAGACCUAAGGUGUGGCUGGGAGGCAAAGGGUCAGGAACUAGGAGUGCUUUGCCCCUGGGAGCUUGUUUCCACUUGGGGCCUGGCGCCUACCCCUUAUUCCGCCAUCCACUCUACCCACAGCAUCCGUCCUGAAGCAAAGUAGGAAUCUUUUUCUAAAGAAACUCGUUUUAAAUUGAAGACUCUUGAAAAAACCCUGAAAAUCCAAAAGGCAUGCCUCCGCCGCUGGAAGGGAGCCCUCCAGGAGGGAAUGGAAGAGGCCUGGAGGAGAAGGCGAAGGCAAAGGCGCGCACCAAGCCUGCUUCUCAGAGUUGGCGCCUCCCCGGGAAUCCCCCAACCCUGGACCUGGCCUGAAAGCAAGGCACCAGCUUUUAGAUCCCCUGAUGAGUCCUGUCUUUUUCUCAGGCUUCAGGAUUCCAUUUCGCUGCUCCGAAUAAGGCGUCAGGUCUGGAAGGCCGCCGGGCGGAGGCGCAGAGCCCUGACACCACCCCAUCCAGAGCACGCAGCCCAGCGCGAGGGAGCAGGGGCCCGGCCACCUCACCUCCGCCACACCCGCGGCUUCUUCCUUCCUGCCAGAGAAUCGCAAAGGCUCUCUGCUCAGAGUCCGUCACCCACAUUCAUGUCUUUAAUUGCCUUGUAUAAGGAGUCAUUUAAUUUUUGACCUGUUUCUAUAGGUUGAUAAACGAAACAGAGAACAAAAGAAAGUUGCCAACAACAAAACAACAACUUAAAGCCAAAUUCUUGCUGUCUACCUUUCCCUUGGAAGCCAGUCAAGUGGACACCGGCACACUCCAACCUCCAGCCAGCACACGGUGACUAACAGGUCUCUCCUCGGCUGAACCUCUCACUCUGACCACUCCCAGCUCUGCACCAUGGCUGCCAUGCAGUCACAUUAAGGCUGGAAGAAAAGUAGAAACCAUUUCCAUACAAAGGAGGGACCUGCUGGGGUGCCCAGGAGGAGAAAAAGAGCCACACUUAGAAUUCUCAGAAAUGAUGUUUUAACUUCCCCACCAUAAAUGUUUCCUGUCUCAUGCUCAUAACUGUCCCUAAGUCACCUGCAAAAAAAGGGGAAAAUGGUACUUUUGAUUUUACAAUUUCUUUCUUUUUAUUUCUUUUCUCUUUCUCUUUCUUUCAUUUCUCGGUAUUUCUUUUUAUUUCUUUCUGGGAUGUAUGCACCUUAAACUUUAAACACAGCAGGUACUAAAAAAUAAAGAUUAGAUUGAAGUAUAUGAAACUGAUAUUUUGGUAAGUCAAAAAUGGACAAAUAUCCUCAAUUUAUAUCGUUCAAUCUAACAGACGACAUGAAAGGGUAGUCAAAGCUUCUAAAGCUGCUAAAUUGUCUUUCCCUGGGCUUCACUGGCACUGGUGAGUUGCUGGCCUAGUUUGCUGCCAGGUGCACGCUAACCUCCUUACCUGGUCAGUCCCCACCAGCUGCUCCCUGAGGUGCCCAGAAGCUGGCCCAUGGUCAUCACUGCCUUUCUCCCCACCAAGGAGAUGCCAGGCCCUUUCCACAGCUACACAUAAAGUCGGUGUUGUGUUGAAUUCUGGGCAAAGUUCACAACAAACUAGCCCCAUGGGUUUGCCAUAGAGUCUGCCACUGUCACUGUGGCCAGAGGAGCCCUGGAGCUCCUCCCACACCUCAUGAGAAUGGCCAGUGACAUGCCAGAGCUCCUGGUGCUUCAGGUGAAGAAGACCCUCUUGUAAAUCCAUCUCAGUCCACUCCCAUAUUCCCUGAACUGGGCUGGGAGGGAGCCAGCUCCACUGGGACAGGGAAUCCCUGCUGUACUCCCAGGUCACAGUGAAUGUGUGUUGGCAAAUCCCAUCCUCCCAAGAUGUCAAAGUGGAUGCAGAAGAGGAACACGAGACACACACACACACACACACACACACCCCUUCUUACACCCAGGACAAAACACCACAGUUUUUCUGAAAGUUUUGUUGUCCUCUGGUGAGUACUGUUUUCCUUCCUUCCUUCCUUCCUUCAUUGAAGAUUUUGUUGCAUGUUUACUGUAUACCAGACAUUGCACUUUUCCAACAAAAACAAUCAAGACUCAGACGCCUCUCGGAAAGCUUAGGUUCUACAAAGAGGGAAUGAGUACACACACAAGCAACCCACUAAUGCCUCUGCUGUAUGAAUAUAAAGGGAGGAGCCGUUUAUGCUGCCUGAGGAAGUCAGUGGGUAUGCAUGGUGUGCGGUGAUACUGCUCAGCCCACCAACAGUGAAUGCAUAAUACAGACUGAUUGAUGAUUGAUUGAUUGAAAAUGAGGGAAGGAGCUGCUCACCCUCUAAGUGCCAGUCAUUGUUCUAGGUGCUGGGAGCAAAGUUGUGAGUAAAACACAAAUCUGUUCCUUCAAAUGAAGUGGGUUUGACAAACAUGAUAUUUAGAAUUGCAUUUGGGGGGAAAAAAAGAAUUUUUAAAAGAGAAAGCAGAAUAAGGAAUUCUGAGCAGAAGGAACACCAUGAGGUAAUGAAAGUUCAUGGGAUGUACGGAGUCCGGAUAGAAAAACUCCAGAGUCAGAAAGGUUCAGAAUCUAAUGAAUUUUAGAGAAAAAAAAUAUGAAAAAUGGUAGUAUAUCCUGGUCUCUGCUUUUGUCUCUAUUAAAAUUGUUAUCAACAUUUCCAGACCUCUCCCUAGUCACCAAAAUAGGAAGGAGAAAAUAAAGGAAAUCAAUCUGGCAUUUUAAUUUGUCUCUAUUUCUGGCAAUUUACCUCUAACCCAAAUAGAAUGGACAGUUGAAAUGGGUCCUUAGGGGCAGGUGGGAGUGAACUGGGCUAGAAACAGCCUGUCAUCAGGAGAGAAUCCUUCCUCAUGCCACACCCACUCGGCCCUUGGGGUUUGUUUCCUUGGUCUGUUUCCUGUCCCAAAGCUUAAACCUCUUCGCUCUCUCCAAUUCCUAAUAAAGUAAACACUGAAGAACAACUCAGCAAACUUAGACUUCUAAGAUUGCAUUUUUAUUGUAUUGUGGUGAAAUGUACAGACAGGGAAAUGCACAGACUAUAAGAAUACAAUCAUAUCCCUUUCUAGACAAUGCCACCCGUGCAGAGACAACCACCCUUCUGCCUGUUACCACCAUAGAUUAAUUUUGCCUGUUCUCAAACUUAAUACAAAUGGAAUCAUGAAGUAUAUGCUUUUUAGGGUCUGACUUCUCUCCCUCUGCAUAAUGUUCUUGAGAUUCAUGCAUGAUGUUUUAUUUAUCAAUAGUUUGUUUCCUUUUAUUUUUAAGUAGUAGUCCAUUUUAUGGCUACCAAACUGUUUAUCCAUUCUCUUUUGACAGACAUUUGGUUUUUUCCAUGUUUUUGCUUUUAUAGACAAAGCUGCCAUGAAUAUUCUUAUUUUAGUCUUUUUCGGUUUUUAUUUCUCUUGUAAAUACCUGGAAAUGGAAUGGCUGGGCUCUGAAGCAACUGUAUGUUUAACUUUAUAAGAAGCUGCCAAAUUGUUUUCCAAGAUGGUUGUACCAUUUUACAUUCCCACCAGCAGCAUUUGAGAGUUUCAGUUGCUGGAUAGCCUUGUCAACAUUUGGUGCUGUCAGUCUUUCCAAUUUUAAGUAUGCUAAUGCGUAUAAAAUUGUAUGUCAUGGUUUUCAUUUGCAUUUUUGUAGGAUCUUGAUCACUUUUUCAUGUACUUGUUGACCAUUCCUCUCUUCUUUAGAGAAGUGUCUUUUGCACAUUUAAAUGAAUUAUAUAUGUAAUGUAUUUAUUUUUAUAGAAGUCCUUUGUCACAUAUAUGUAUUGUAAAUAUUUUUAUUUACAUCUGUAGCUUGCAUUUUCAUUUUCUUAAUGGUUUCUUUUGAUGAGCAGUUUUAGUUUUGAUGAAGUCCAAUUUAUCAGUCUUUGUUUCCUUUUUGUUUUUAACUUGCUCUGUCCUCCCUCAGAAAUCUUUGCCUACUUCAAAGGUUGCAAAGAUAUUGUUCAGUGUUGUCUUACAGAAGCCUUAGACUCUUAGUUUUUGUGGUUAAGUUUAUGAUACAUCUUAAAUUAAUUUUGUGUGUUUGUGAAUGAUAAAGAUUGAGUCAUUUUUUCACACUUUUAUGUAGCUGAACAGGUGUCAUUCUGAUGACAACAAUGGCCUUGAACGUCUGUCAAAAAAAUCACUUGACCAUGUAUGUGUAGGUCUGUUUCUGAACUCUCCAUUCUCUUCCAUUGAUCUACUUGUCUAUUCUUAAAGCAAUAACCCACUAUUAUAAUUAAUAUAGGUCAAUAGAAAAAAAACUGAUGUCAGAUAAUGAGUCCUCCAAUGUGUUUCUCUUUCUCCACACAACCCCCACCACCCAGCAAUGUAUCGGUUUUCUUAGGUGCUUUGCUUUCCCAAAUAUCUUUUAGAAUCAGCUGGCCUUUUCUUUUACAAAGUGCCAUUGGAAUUUUGGUUGAGACUGUGUUGAAUCAAUAGAUCAAUUUGAGGAGAAACAACACAAGAAAGACAGUGUGUCCUCCAGCCAUGAGCAUGGUUAUUACUCUCCAUUCAUUUAGGCCUCCUGUAAUUUCUCUCAGCAGUGCCUUAUAGUUUUCAAUGUAGUAAUCUUGGAUGUCUUUUCUUGAACUUAUUGUUUUAUUUUGUAUGUGUGUUAUUAUAGAUGGAUUAUUUUUGUUUAAUUUUUCAAGUCUUUGCUGCAAGUAUAUAGAAAUACAAUUCAUUUUUGUAUAUAGUUCAUGUAUUUUACAACUACUGAAUUCACUAUGGUUUCUAGCAGUUGCUUUGAAGAUUCCUUAGAUAGCUGUGUAAACCAUAAUAUCAUCUGCAAAUAAAAUAAUUUUACUUCUUCUCUCGCA
This 8242-nucleotide long non-coding RNA is filed under the name Homo sapiens (human). RNAcentral describes it as "HSALNT0346671". Lineage: Eukaryota; Metazoa; Chordata; Mammalia; Primates; Hominidae. The record is from RNAcentral.